Non-coding RNA from Camellia sinensis, 441 nucleotides. The record is from RefSeq and is a predicted model, not a curated record. NCBI's taxonomy places the organism in Eukaryota, Viridiplantae, Streptophyta, Magnoliopsida, Ericales, Theaceae.
AAGAUGGAGUAAUAGUAGAGUGAGUUGAGGUUUGAUGAAGAUUAGAGAUCGAGAAGUUGGAUACUCAGUGGUUCACUACGAAGAAGUCAUCUCCUAAUUCGAAGCAAAAGCGAGAUUAGAUUGAGUGUAGAAGUUCCACCAGCUGUUUGUGAGGAUUGUUACAAAAGGGUCAUGAAUGAGUUUAUGAAGCAGUCAAAGGGUGUUCUUUACGCAAUUAGCAUCACUGAUUUGUCCAGCUGAAUUAGAAGAUAAUCAAGUUCGAGUAGUGUUGAGCGAGUAGUUGAUAUGAUUGAAUGGGUGAUAUUGAGAGCUAAACUGAGAAUUUUUUUUUUUUUUUUUUUUUGAGUACUUGAAUAUAUUAGUAUUUUGUAUAAAUACUUUUAAGGAUGGUUGAUGGAUAUUUGUUUUGCAUAUAUAGAAGUUUAUAUUUUGUAUGCACAC